Molecule: unclassified non-coding RNA, 348 nt
Filed under: soil metagenome
Description: partial contains 5.8S ribosomal RNA, internal transcribed spacer 2, and large subunit ribosomal RNA
Rfam family: 5.8S ribosomal RNA (bases 1-120)
Source: RNAcentral
GAUGAAGAACGCAGUGAAAUGCGAUAAGUAAUGUGAAUUGCAGAAUUCAGUGAAUCAUCGAACCUUUGAACGCACAUUGCGCCCGCCAGUAUUCUGGCGGGCAUGCCUGUCUGAGCGUCAUUUCAACCCUCAUGCCCCUAGGGCGUGGUGUUGGGGAUCGGCCAAAGCCCGCGAGGGACGGCCGGCCCCUAAAUCUAGUGGCGGACCCGUCGUGGCCUCCUCUGCGAAGUAGUGAUAUUCCGCAUCGGAGAGCGACGAGCCCCUGCCGUUAAACCCCCAACUUUCCAAGGUUGACCUCAGAUCAGGUAGGAAUACCCGCUGAACUUAAGCAUAUCAAUAAGCGGAGGA